CGUGCACACAUACCGCCAAGCAAGGACACCUCAGCCGCCCCGUGCUCUUUUCACCCUCCCCCCCCAAUCCCCUCCUUGUGCUCGACAGGGAACUCAUGCUGCGGUGCCUGUCCAUUCCCGAGAGGUGCGCGACGGCAGCGACGACGCAGUCAGACUGCGGUGAAGGCUGGCCAUGGGCAGUGAAUGCAGACGUCCGCCGAGGGCCCUCUGCUCUGUUGUCUCAUCUGCCUUGAACCCCACCACCUCCUCCCCUCCCCGUCUCCUUCCAUUGGCUCGUCUAUGCCAUUGCGGUUCGCUCACGUUGCCACUCGAAUUUCCUGCUUAGGCCUUCUCCGCACGGUGGUGGGUGUGUCGAUGUCAAUCCCACCUCAUCCAAGCUCUGCCCGCGUCCCCGCCCGGGCAAGACAGGAAAGCUGUGGAAGGGUGGGUGUCCGGGCAGUCUCGUGCGCACCAAACCGAAAACGUAUGCACACCGUACCGCCAUACCACCACCUUGAGGCGUGCGGCUCAGUGUUCAGCGGCACGGUCGUGCACGCCUCUCCGUACUUUGGAUCACCGGACCAUGCGUGCGCGCCGCUGGUGGCACGGCCCUUCGUCGCUCCUCUACGCCUUAAGCCUCCUCUUGUCUCUCCCUCCCUCUCACGCUGGCGGAGGAAAG
RNAcentral lists this unclassified non-coding RNA (658 nucleotides) under Leishmania donovani. RNAcentral's name for it is "gene:unknown". Lineage: Eukaryota; Euglenozoa; Kinetoplastea; Trypanosomatida; Trypanosomatidae. The record is from RNAcentral.